Molecule: ribosomal RNA, 1389 nt
Filed under: metagenome
Description: bacterial LSU rRNA
Rfam family: Bacterial large subunit ribosomal RNA
Source: RNAcentral
CCAAAAAAACUAGCGGAUGAGCUGUGGAUAGGGGUGAAAGGCUAAACAAACUUGGAAAUAGCUGGUUCUCUCCGAAAACUAUUUAGGUAGUGCCUCAAGUAUUACCGUCGGGGGUAGAGCACUGUUUUGGCUAGGGGGUCAUGGCGACUUACCAAACCAAGGCAAACUCCGAAUACCGACGAGUACAGCUUGGGAGACAGAGCACCGGGUGCUAACGUCCGGACUCAAGAGGGAAACAACCCAGACCGCCAGCUAAGGUCCCUAAAAUUGGCUAAGUGGGAAACGAAGUGGGAAGGCUAAAACAGUCAGGAUGUUGGCUUAGAAGCAGCCAUCAUUUAAAGAAAGCGUAAUAGCUCACUGAUCGAGUCGUCCUGCGCGGAAGAUGUAACGGGGCUAAGCCAGUUACCGAAGCUGCGGAUUUGCAAUUUAUUGCAAGUGGUAGGAGAGCGUUCUGUAAGCCUGUGAAGGUGUGUUGUAAAGCACGCUGGAGGUAUCAGAAGUGCGAAUGCUGACAUGAGUAGCGUUUAAGGGGGUGAAAAGCCCCCUCACCGUAAGCGCAAGGUUUUCUACGCAACGUUCAUCGGCGUAGAGUGAGUCGGCCCCUAAGGCGAGGCAGAGAUGCGUAGCUGAUGGGAAACAGGUCAAUAUUCCUGUACCGAUGUGUAGUGCGAUGUGGGGACGGAGAAGGUUAGCUCAGCCAACUGUUGGAUAUGUUGGUUCAAGCCUGUAGUCGUGCCUGGUAGGUAAAUCCGCCGGGCUUAGAUGAGGGGUGAUAACGAGGCUGCUUGCAGCCGAAGUGAGUGAUACCCUGCUUCCAGGAAGCCACUAAGCUUCAGCUACACACGACCGUACCGCAAACCGACACUGGUGCGCGAGAUGAGUAUUCUAAGGCGCUUGAGAGAACUCAGGAGAAGGAACUCGGCAAAUUGACACCGUAACUUCGGAAGAAGGUGUGCCUUUAGUAGGUGAACCUGUACAAGGGGAGCCCAAUGAGGUUGCAAAAAAUCGGUGGCUGCGACUGUUUAAUAAAAACACAGCACUCUGCAAACACGAAAGUGGACGUAUAGGGUGUGACGCCUGCCCGGUGCUGGAAGAUUAAAUGAUGGGGUGCAAGCUCUUGAUUGAAGUCCCAGUAAACGGCGGCCGUAACAAUAACGGUCCUAAGGUAGCGAAAUUCCUUGUCGGGUAAGUUCCGACCUGCACGAAUGGCGUAACGAUGGCCACACUGUCUCCUCCUGAGACUCAGCGAAGUUGAAAUGUUUGUGAUGAUGCAAUCUCCCCGCGGAAAGACGGAAAGACCCCAUGAACCUUUACUGUAGCUUUGUAUUGGACUUUGAACAGAUCUGUGUAGGAUAGGUGGGAGGCUUUGAAGUGUGGUCGCUAGAUCGU